UGAAAGGAAGAUUAAUUCAAGAUGGCAUCAUGAGUCCGCAUGUUCACAUGAUUAAAGGUAUUCCGGUAGACGAUGGGGAUGCGUUCCAUUAGAUAGUAGGCGGGGUAACGGCCCACCUAGUCUUCGAUGGAUAGGGGUUCUGAGAGGAAGGUCCCCCACAUUGGAACUGAGACACGGUCCAAACUCCUACGGGAGGCAGCAGUGAGGAAUAUUGGUCAAUGGGCGAGAGCCUGAACCAGCCAAGUAGCGUGAAGGAUGACUGCCCUAUGGGUUGUAAACUUCUUUUAUAAAGGAAUAAAGUCGGGUAUGGAUACCCGUUUGCAUGUACUUUAUGAAUAAGGAUCGGCUAACUCCGUGCCAGCAGCCGCGGUAAUACGGAGGAUCCGAGCGUUAUCCGGAUUUAUUGGGUUUAAAGGGAGCGUAGAUGGAUGUUUAAGUCAGUUGUGAAAGUUUGCGGCUCAACCGUAAAAUUGCAGUUGAUACUGGAUAUCUUGAGUGCAGUUGAGGCAGGCGGAAUUCGUGGUGUAGCGGUGAAAUGCUUAGAUAUCACGAAGAACUCCGAUUGCGAAGGCAGCCUGCUAAGCUGCAACUGACAUUGAGGCUCGAAAGUGUGGGUAUCAAACAGGAUUAGAUACCCUGGUAGUCCACACGGUA
RNAcentral lists this ribosomal RNA (654 nucleotides) under uncultured bacterium. RNAcentral describes it as "bacterial SSU rRNA". It matches the Rfam family "Bacterial small subunit ribosomal RNA", at positions 152 to 804 of the family's 1533-position model. The record is from RNAcentral.